CACGUAGUUAGCCGGUGCUUCUUCUGUAGGUACCGUCACAAAAGCUUCGUCCCUACUGAAAGCGGUUUACAACCCGAAGGCCGUCAUCCCGCACGCGGCGUCGCUGCAUCAGGCUUCCGCCCAUUGUGCAAUAUUCCCCACUGCUGCCUCCCGUAGGAGUCUGGGCCGUGUCUCAGUCCCAGUGUGGCCGGUCACCCUCUCAGGCCGGCUACCCGUCGUCGCCUUGGUAGGCCAUUACCCCACCAACAAGCUGAUAGGCCGCGAGUCCAUCCUCCACCGAUAAAUCUUUCCACCCCCACCCAUGCAGGCAGGAGUCCUAUCCAGUAUUAGCACCGGUUUCCCGGAGUUAUCCCAGAGUGAAGGGCAGGUUACUCACGUGUUACUCACCCGUUCGCCACUCAUCCACCCAGCAAGCUGGGCUUCAGCGUUCGACUUGCAUGUGUUAAGCACGCCGCCAGCGUUCGUCCUGAGCCAGGAUCAAACUCU
This 486-nucleotide ribosomal RNA is filed under the name uncultured Ornithinimicrobium sp. RNAcentral describes it as "partial 16S ribosomal RNA". Lineage: Bacteria; Bacillati; Actinomycetota; Actinomycetes; Micrococcales; Ornithinimicrobiaceae. The record is from RNAcentral.